UGGAAGCUGGAUGGACUCAUUGCUCUGUCCAUUGGAGUGGGGAAAGGACUGAGCCCAGAGAGCUUCUGAAAAGAGUCAGUAUAAGGAAGGAGAAAUGGCUCUGAGAGGAACUUGACUUUCCCUGGCCUCCGGACUUUUUCAGAUUCAGUGCUCAUGCAGAACCGGAUAUUCUGGAGACUACGUGUGACUGCUGGCUCUUCUCUCUUGCACCCAGGCAAACUGGUGCUGUCAUAAAAAUGCUAUCAAGAUUUACUGCUGCUUCAUGAGACACAGGACUAAGCCAGAGGGACACCAUGCACCCUAAACCUACUCAUAGCCGCUGCCUCUGAAACUCGACUCUGUAAUUUGGUGUGGUUUACAGCCCAUCAGCAUCAGAAUUGCCUGGAGGAUUUGUGAAACACAGGAGAACUCGGUUUCCUUCUAGACCAACUGUAUCUGCAUGCAUAUCAAACUCUCCAGAACACCACUGAAGUCCAUUUUAUUGCUUCAUACUGGGAGACAGCGUCUGCUGGGCGAAUGCUCCAGGUUCUGGUUAAACGAUCUGACGUCACAAGAAAUACCUGGGCUCAAGACGUACCCUGAGACAAGCCAGAAAGAGUGAGUCAAAGACCAUGUCUAAAGAAAAAUAAAUGAGACGUUUUCAAGAGGAUUUUGAGUUUUCCAGGCACGAUUAUUCCUACCACCCCAUGUUGCUGCUCCUCUCAGUGAUAAUGUCAUCGUGGCUUAUGUCACAAUAUCUGGGGCUCUCUCAGUCUAGAUUUUCCCAUGGAGCAGCCAACUGCUUGAGGCAGCUGCCUUAUGAUCAGACGUUCAAAGAGCUGCUAAAAAUGUAACUACCUGUAAAUGUCAGUGUUUUUCAAAUAAACGUUUUUC
Molecule: long non-coding RNA, 873 nt
Filed under: Equus caballus (horse)
Lineage: Eukaryota; Metazoa; Chordata; Mammalia; Perissodactyla; Equidae
Description: lncRNA (ENSECAG00000048485.1)
Source: RNAcentral